GAUGAAGAACGCAGCGAAAUGCGAUAAGUAAUGUGAAUUGCAGAAUUCAGUGAAUCAUCGAAUCUUUGAACGCACCUUGCACCCUUUGGCAUUCCGAAGGGUAUGCUCGUUUGAGUGUCAUUGUACUCUCACUCUCCCGAUGCUUUUGGAUCGGGAGUGGUGGACUUGGGUGUUGCUGCUUUGCUGUGGCUCGCCUCAAAUGGAGUAGUGCAACUCUUGGUUGGACAUAGUACGGCGUGAUAAGUGUCUUCGCCGGCGCCUCAUUAUAGAGGGUGGCCGAUCGGGAGCUCUGUGCUUCAAACCAUCUUCGGACAACAUCUGACAACUUGACCUCAAAUCGAGUAGGACUACCCGCUGAACUUAAGCAUAUCAAUAAGCGGAGGA
This 384-nucleotide unclassified non-coding RNA is filed under the name soil metagenome. RNAcentral describes it as "partial contains 5.8S ribosomal RNA, internal transcribed spacer 2, and large subunit ribosomal RNA". The stretch from base 1 to 120 matches the Rfam family "5.8S ribosomal RNA", at positions 35 to 154 of the family's 154-position model. The record is from RNAcentral.